RNAcentral lists this ribosomal RNA (497 nucleotides) under uncultured bacterium. RNAcentral's name for it is "partial 16S ribosomal RNA". It matches the Rfam family "Bacterial small subunit ribosomal RNA", at positions 28 to 507 of the family's 1533-position model. The record is from RNAcentral.
GAUGAACGCUGGCGGCGUGCCUAAUACAUGCAAGUCGAACGCAUAGCGAAAGGUGCUUGCACCUUUCACGUGAGUGGCGAACGGGUGAGUAACACGUGGACAACCUGCCUCAAGGCUGGGGAUAACAUUUGGAAACAGAUGCUAAUACCGAAUAAAACUUAGUGUCGCAUGACACAAAGUUAAAAGGCGCUUCGGCGUCACCUAGAGAUGGAUCCGCGGUGCAUUAGUUAGUUGGUGGGGUAAAGGCCUACCAAGACAAUGAUGCAUAGCCGAGUUGAGAGACUGAUCGGCCACAUUGGGACUGGGACACGGCCCAAACUCCUACGGGAGGCUGCAGUAGGGAAUCUUCCACAAUGGGCGAAAGCCUGAUGGAGCAACGCCGCGUGUGUGAUGAAGGCUUUCGGGUCGUAAAGCACUGUUGUAUGGGAAGAACAGCUAGAAUAGGAAAUGAUUUUAGUUUGACGGUACCAUACCAGAAAGGGACGGCUAAAUACGUG